RNAcentral lists this ribosomal RNA (484 nucleotides) under uncultured bacterium. RNAcentral describes it as "partial 16S ribosomal RNA". It matches the Rfam family "Bacterial small subunit ribosomal RNA", at positions 28 to 507 of the family's 1533-position model. The record is from RNAcentral.
AUUGAACGCUGGCGGCAUGCUUUACACAUGCGAGUCGAACGGCAGCGCGGGCCUCGGCCUGGCGGCGAGUGGCGAACGGGUGAGUAAUGCAUCGGAACGUGCCCAGUAGUGGGGGAUAGCCCGGCGAAAGCCGGAUUAAUACCGCAUACGACCUGAGGGUGAAAGCGGGGGACCGAAAGGCCUCGCGCUAUUGGAGCGGCCGAUGUCGGAUUAGCUAGUUGGUGGGGUAAAGGCUUACCAAGGCGACGAUCCGUAGCUGGUCUGAGAGGACGACCAGCCACACUGGGACUGAGACACGGCCCAGACUCCUACGGGAGGCAGCAGUGGGGAAUUUUGGACAAUGGGGGCAACCCUGAUCCAGCCACGCCGCGUGCGGGAAGAAGGCCUUCGGGUUGUAAACCGCUUUUGUUCGGGAAGAAAUCCUCUGGGCUAAUACCCCGGGGGGAUGACGGUACCGGAAGAAUAAGCACCGGCUAACUACGUG